GGGGUUGUAGUUCAGUGGUAGAGCACUUGCCUCACAUGCAUGAGGCACUGGGUUCAAUCCUCAGCACCA
RNAcentral lists this transfer RNA (69 nucleotides) under Ictidomys tridecemlineatus (thirteen-lined ground squirrel). RNAcentral describes it as "Spermophilus tridecemlineatus (thirteen-lined ground squirrel) tRNA". It matches the Rfam family "tRNA". From Rfam's summary of the family: Transfer RNA (tRNA) molecules are approximately 80 nucleotides in length. The record is from Rfam by way of RNAcentral. Lineage: Eukaryota; Metazoa; Chordata; Mammalia; Rodentia; Sciuridae. RNAcentral also lists the same sequence under 1 other name.